UGUUCAAAUUUUCUCACAAAAAUUCAAAAUUUAGUACUCAAAUUUCAAUCAACUUUAGAUCUAAUAAAAAAAUUUACAUUUAACGGUUUCUCAAUUUUGUAUUUCUAGCACCUUUCAAUUAGUAUUUACGAAGUAAACUAAAAUUGUGCUAUAUAUGGUGAGGAAAUAGUGUAUUAUCACACUGGUGCUACUUAGAGUAAUUUGUGGAA
This 209-nucleotide long non-coding RNA is filed under the name Trifolium pratense (red clover). RNAcentral describes it as "long non-coding RNA (TPRA_LNC004766)". Lineage: Eukaryota; Viridiplantae; Streptophyta; Magnoliopsida; Fabales; Fabaceae. The record is from RNAcentral.